AGCAAUGCUGAGUGCUGAUUACAGCGCUCGGCAGGCUCCUGUGCGAAAAAUGAAGCGAAGUAGGCUUGCUCAGCCAUGACGCUGGCUCAGGAAAUGUUUGUGCAAGUCAGUGACUGAGGUUGUUUUAUCACUGAGGCUAUCAGAUUGUUUCCUCAUGGAGGGCAUUAUGCAGGUGGUGGAAGGGAGAAACGAGAAGCAUAAAGGUGGAAAGUAAGUUCUAUAUUUUGAUCUCUUCAAUUUAAAGGCAAUUCCUUUCAAGUUGUAGUAGAGAAAGACUGGUUUGUGUAUCUGUGUACUGAAAGUCCCAGGGGCAGGCUGAACAAUGGUCCCCCAAAGAGAUCCAAGUUCGAAUCCCAGGCACCUGUGACCGUGCUGCCUUACAUGGCAAAGGUCCUCUUCCCCCGCUGUCCCCAUUCCUCCUCUUCCCUUGCCUCCCUCCUCCUCUUUCCCCUCCCCCCUCCCUCCACCCCUUCCCUCUUCCUCUUUGCUCUCCUCCUCCUUCUUUGCUUGUAGCCAGCAUUCAUCCAUUGGACAUCCUGGCAUUUGCUGAGGGCUGGCGGGAUGAGCAGCGGCAGUUAUCAAAAGGAGCCUGCUCUGUAUCCUUCACUUCAGAGAUUGAGAAGUGAGGUUUUCCAGGGCCCAGCCAAAGACCGGAGCCCCCACCACCAGGUGUUUGCGAGGCACAGACCACGGAGAAGAAGAGGCUGGGUAAGCAGAAAGCCUGUGUUCACAGAGGCCACCAUUGGAGAUGGGGGUGAUGAGGGAGGGGAGGAAAACGCGAGUCAGGCUGACAGCACCUGCCCAGGGGCUUCUACAGAAAGGCUCAUCUCCCCUUUCUGGAUUCUUCCCUCGCUCUACCACAGGUGCCUAGUGUCCCACUCUUCAGCAUAUUAACCACGUCUUUGAUUGUCUAUCUACUGACCCGUUGACCUUUGGGGCCUUGUGACCCUGGAGGGAGGGACUCUUCCAGAGCAGGCCAGUUCCUAGAGAUAGUAAACAACUCCCUUCCAAGGGCGCUUGUCAAAUACGACACAACCAAUCCAGGGUCCACGCCCUGACACCUCCUUUCCUGAGCUUUCAUGCUCUGGGCCACUCUGCACCCCACGGCCAGCUACCAGACAGCCGUGGGCAGCCCCUACUCUUCAGAGCCCCCCAAAGUUACUCAAACUAGCCAGUCCUAAAUAGCUCCCCCUGCCUUGCUCGGCCUCUCCUGCACAAACUACGCUAAAGGCUCUGGCCCACAACUGGCCUCCUUCUCCCUCUUCCUCUUGGCCAACCCUCCUGCCCUCCUGCCCUCACGUGCGGCCCUCGUGGUGUGGCAUGCCUUCUCCUCUGUGGGACUCUGAGGAACACACUAUCUUUUCAGUGG
RNAcentral lists this long non-coding RNA (1369 nucleotides) under Felis catus (domestic cat). RNAcentral's name for it is "lncRNA (ENSFCAG00000052639.1)". Lineage: Eukaryota; Metazoa; Chordata; Mammalia; Carnivora; Felidae. The record is from RNAcentral.